Heterocephalus glaber (naked mole-rat) is the source of this 7744-nucleotide non-coding RNA. The record is from RefSeq and is a predicted model, not a curated record. Lineage: Eukaryota; Metazoa; Chordata; Mammalia; Rodentia; Bathyergidae.
UUCUUUCAGCAUUGACAGAUCUAGCUGAGAGACAGGACACAAAUGAACAAGGAGAAGGGCAAGCCUGUGGGGAGGUCAAGGAAGACUGCACUUAGGACGUGUGACCUAAACAUGAUCUUGCAGAAUGGGCUUCUCUGGUAAAGGGACAUUCUUCAUAGAAAAAAGAUGUGUCUGUGAGAAGUGCGUAAGAGGCGAAGAACGGCAAGUAUGUACUUAUUGGCCCUGGAUGGAAAAUAGCCAAAGCAACAAAACUGAAAUAAAACAAGCAAUUCAAGAUAUGUCACAGAACUUAUGAGAAAUUGAGAAUAGAAAAAACUUGAAUCUACUGAAUGAAAGAGACUCAUAUUGUAAGGGAAAAGAUUGACACAUGUCAACUACAGAACAGACCCUAGUAAGUAACUGGUAUUCAGUAUAAGGACAAAAGGGUGUUUGGUUACCAAAGGUAAAGGAAAGCAAACACAAAAACUUAAUGCCCCCCCCCAAGAAAAACAAAAACAAGACAAGACAACUAAAAGAGGAAAAUCACAAACUGGCCUGACACAUUAACAUGCAGAAAAUUAAUGGAGCAAAGCUCUCAUAGAAAGAAUAACACAUAAAUUGUAUCCCCCUAAGUAUAAUAUUAAAGCAGAAAGGGGGUAAAUAAACAUUUCCCACAUUCGACAAUCAGCUGGUCUUGAAGACUUUACUAAAGGGCAACUUCAGACAACCAAGAUCUAAGAGAGAAAACUACAGCAGAGGAUGGGUGAGGACAGCAGAACACGGAUACCUGUAAGACUGAGAUAGAAGGGAUGCAGGGAGGCCAGCGGAGGAGAGGACCCGUGAGCUCUAAAGACUUCAUUAAUGAGAAUGGGCUGGGAGUGGGGAUAUGGCAGGGCUCAUGAAUGCACACUAUUUUCUUCAUGUUUCCUCUGAGGAGCUUCACAAAAUAUUUAAGUCCAACAGAAUUACAUGUUAAGAUAGUAAAGCGAAUACUAGAAAUGCUAUAAUAAAUCAAAGCUGCACGGUAGAAGAAUCUGAGGGGUGAGAAGAAACUGAAAUGCAUGGGAACACAUUAAUUUUACAAUUGCUCACAUGAGGGUAUCAAUGGACAUAGUCCACCAACGGAAGAGUUGGUAUGUUACAGAAAGUUAUACUCAGAAAGACAAGGAGAACUAAAACACAAAUAUUAAAGACUAUCAAAGGAAUCUAUCAGAAGGCAAAGGAAACAGACCAUAACGAGAGCUAAGAAAAAGUGGUUACAAUUACACAGGCACUGUCAUCACUAAGGCACAUGAGUUGUAUGUACCCGUGCAAAUGGCUAAAGUCACAGCCCAGAAGGGAAGGGCUGCUUAAUACGGGUGGCUAACCAGUCUACAUGUGUACCUGCAGCCUGCUGUCAUUCCUCUACUUAUGGUAAUCCUGACCAGCUUGCAGCUGCAAAUGCUUAUCUUCAAGUUAAUGGCCUUUUGCAUUUCUCCGGGUGUUGUUAGUCUUUUUUUCUUAUUUCUUGAUAGUAAAAACUCCUGCACCCAGCCCCACACCCCAAGCUGCCACCCAAUCAGGGCUCACCAGGCCCAAGCCUGGUUCUGCAUUCCCUGCUGACUAUGUGGCCUUCUACCACCCUCCAGGAGGCCUUUCCAGGUGACCCUAAAUAAAGCGCCAACACCUUCCCCUGCCACACUCAAAGCCAUUUCUACCCAAGGCACCUGUCAUAAUCUAGAAUGCUUGUAGAGAGGUAAACAGAUGACAGUGGAAGAGAGAAGGAUAGAAAACCCUCAUGCACCACUAAGUUCCAGGAACUGUUUCAGGCAUUAUUCUAUAGCUAUAAUUAGCAAAUGUGAUCCUCCCAGAAAUCCACAGGGUGGAUGUUGCCAUUAUAUUCUUUUUAUGGGCAAAUGGGGCACAGCUCAAGGUUACACAGUGAAGAAUGGCAAAUCACAGUCUGAGAAAUGCUGGCUGCUGGGCUCCAGUCUUACUGGCCCCUGGAUGUGCACAUCAAUGCAGAUCCUCUCCCCUCUUCCACUCCAACUGGUGCCAGUGAGGCAGGAACUCUGCGGUGUUCAUGAUCUAUCAACCCCAGGUGCAGAGCAGAGGACUCAGAUGUGCUGCACAAUGAAUAAAACUUCACUGAGUGGUGAAACUUCGUAUCUCUUUCAAAUGAAACAAAAUGUUGCUGAUUUUUAAAAAAUACUUGUACUACAAUAGGAAAAGAACUGUUUCGGGAGAACUUUAAAAAUCUGGUUAUCCACCUGCAGAGUUGCAGAAAACUUAUGCAACACAAGGGAAAAAGGUGAUCAUUUCAAGUUUGAGGUAAUGUUUCCCAGAGACAAUACUGUCAUGGUUCAUCUUAUGUACAGUGCUAGCAUUAAGGAAAAGGCGAGCAGCCUGGAAAAUUCACAAAUCACAUGUGCUUCUGCUUGUCAAAAACUCCAGUAAGGAGAAAGAAAAGAACAGUGAAUGGGGAUUCUAAGAAGGGGGAUCCUGUGAAAAAGAAUCAGCUGAGAAAUAAUUAAGAGUGAUUUUAGCUGAGGCUGGAUUCGUUCAGUUUGGCAACACAUUCUGACCUUUGCCCUUCUACUUUGAGGGUAACGUCUCCAACUGGGUCAAGGCCAAGAGGUGCCUGCCGGUUUGGUUUUGUCCUGUGGGACAUCCACACUGGGCACUGAGGUGGCUCUUAGAUCCUUGUAUCUGCGGCACAAGGCAGAGGUCACAGCUGUUGGACGUGGGAGUCAUCAGAACACAGAGAUGCUACUCAAAGCUAAGGGAUCGCUAAGGAGGUGAGUCUAGAUUCAGAGAGAAGCAGACCAAGGACAAGCAACUUGGAAGCAUCAAGCAUAGGGCUAGCACGAUAUGCUUUGCAGUGCAUGUAUUCAAUAAAUACUUGUGAAGGAGACGAGAGAGACACUGACCUGCCAAGACUUGGAGAAACAACCCUGAGCUUCUGGCUUUAAAUCAAACUGAAAUGGAGUUUUUUUAAGUUUCAGAGAUUUCCUCUUUUAUUUCCUCUUUCAAGUUGGUUUUUGAGUUGCUAGCUACUUUUCCUGUACUUUCCUUGACUUCAAAAAUCCAUGCAAAUACCAGGCAAGGUGCCACACACAGGUAAUCCUAACAGUAUGAAAGGCUGAGUCAGGAGGGUCCUAAUUUCAAGCCCCCCCUGGGUAAUUUAGUAAUUCAGUGAGACCCUGUCUCAAAAUAAUGAUGAUGAUGAUGAUGAUGAUGAUGAUGAUGAUGAUGAAGAUGAAGAUGAAGACAAUGGGCUGGGGGUGUAGCUCAGUGUGAAGGCCCUGGGUUCAAUCCCCAGUACUGCAAAAAGAGAAAAAUCCAUGCAACUGAGUUGUUGAAAGACUGCUACACACCGCACCCAAACCUACAAACAUGAAAGUGUUCAUUUAGCACUCUGAUUUCCAAAGACAUAAUGGUAAGGUCAAGCAUGAGGGAGCAGAACCUAAGAACAAAAUAGUGUCUCUACCAUCAGUGUACACUGGAACUGGAAAGGAUACAGAUCUAUUCUGGUUUAGUAGGCGACGGCUCCUAAAGGGUUGUGUGCUAGAGGUGUAGAUGCAGACCCUGAAGCGACAAAGGUGCACAGGACAGUGAGGAACAGAACUGGGAGGUUGGCAGACUAGAAGCCUGGGGCUGCCAGAGGCCAAGCACAUACUUAGUUAGGUCUGAGCAAACUCAGACAGUGUCUAAGUGCAGGUUUCCUGUGGGAAACAGUUUGCCAUACAACUGAGAAUAGAAUGAUGGAAGACCAGAGCGGAGAAACUCACGGUUGGAUUUGUUGCCCAUGCACGUGCAGGCAGGCACACAGGUGGGGCCGGCCCCUUGUCCGAGAGUCAUCUUUGCUUUCCCCCCAUUUUUUGAUCAGUGUUGUACUUCCUCUCGGUACCUAGUAGAAGUCACAAAACUCAAAACCUCCAAAGAAGCUCCCUCUGCCUGCCUACAAAUGUUAAGUUCCAUCUCUUUCUGUAGCAGUCAGAGUUCUGGAAGCCAAGGGUUUGUGACUUGCCCAUUGGAGGCCGAGGCCAGCAGUGGAAAGAGCGGAAGACUUAGUGAGUUCUUCACUUUUCCAGAAUGAAAACCCUAGAGAUUCUUAAUUUAGUGGUGAUUUUCAUUUUCAAGUUAGACAAGUCACUUUGGACAGAAAUAGAACACAGCUUUAAUAAGUUACCUUGAAGUCAAAGACUAUUAGACGCUUGGCUUUGAACAACCUCAGACUCCAGCCCAAGACCUAAUUAUGUGGAGACAGCUCUGUUUGUGAAAUGUUCGAUAUGAUGGAAGAAUCUGAGGGCCACGGGAGCCCCCGGAAGGGCCACGGACCCAUGACACCUCAUUCUGCAGCAGAGCGCUGGGCCGUCCCAAGGACCGGGCGUGAAAGGGGACGGGGUCCUAGCUUGGAACCUUCACGGCCUGGGAAACGCCUUCUUCACUUUCCCAGCAGGCAGCCGGCUUCACUCACACCAUCCUCUUCCUCCUCCUCCCACUGCCUGCACUUUCUACACUCACCUGAAUGAAGAUAUACUCAUCCUGGACAACCAGGGAGCUGAUGUCAAUGGAGCGGGCAAAGGGGCCACUCCGAGUGGUCUCGGCACACUCCUGGAUCCUGCAGGUGAGCUGACUAGCUCCCACCCCCCAAGCAGCCCAGAAAAGUUUAUGGCAGCAACAGAUGCAGAGCAGGAGAUGACUGACUCUGAAAGGUACUCUGACUCCAACUGCAGGGCGCUCCAGGAGAGACAAUCUCUCCAGCGAUUUGCUCCUUCAAGAAAACUACAGGAAACAGAUUCCGCGUGAGCUGUGCACCCCCUCCAGGAAAGUUCAGGCGUGAGCUGUGGUCCAUUUGCACUGGUGACCCUGAGCCUAAUACGCCCGUGUCGGUUGAUCGCGUUUCCAGCAGCAGCAGCCCUAGCACCUGCCCACGCCCCUUCACUUUUCCUCCUUCCAAAUCCCGGACAUCACAGCUCUGUCCCCGAGGUACUUCCAGGUUCCUCUUCCGUGCCACUUGCUUGGGACUCGACUUCUCAUCUGCACUGCCUGCUGCACCCACUUCACGAACAGAGCUCCUAUGGAUUUAGUUGGGAAACUCAACGGACGGGGGCAAACAGCCAGGCAUCUCUGAAGCUGAAGCCUCACCGACUUCCUCCAGGUGUCAGAACCACUGGCAGCUUUGAGCAACCUCCUCCAGGCCUAAACACCUUUCCAUGGAAUCGAAGGCCUCAGACAGCCCGUCUCAUAAACCGCAACAGCUAAAGUACAGGAAUGAAGAGAUCGCAUUGCAGGUCCUAAGGCAAAGUCUUACUCUGAGCUUCUACAGGAUCGUUGUUUACUUUCUUUAAGCACUGCAGGUGUUCAGGUAGGAAAAAAGUGUGUCUGAGCUGGAAGAGUCAAGAAGGAAGUCGAGGAAGAGGCCACCACUGAGGUUAGCCUGGCGAGAAAGGGUGCAGUGUGUGGGAAGAAUUCGGGCAAAGGGAGUGAAAACGCAUGUGGCCUUCUACACAAGCAAAGUGCGUGGAGCAUGUGGCGUUAAGAACCUGCUAACGGACUCAGUCUGCACGAUAUGCAUUCUUGGACUUCUGUUUUCUCUCCUAUCCUCUGAAACAUUCUCCAAUAAAACCCUAGAAAGACCAGAGUGUAGAUCUCACUCACAUGUCCCUUGAAGAGAAACCAGGGAGAGAUUUACCAAGUGCUUAAGCCUUAUGCUUAACGUAUUUUAGAUGUAAAAAGUCUUUCUAAUGGAUUUGUAAGAGCUAGUGUGGUGCCUGCUGCUCUCACAAAAACUAAAAGUCAGCCUUCGUUCCCUGCACCGGGGAUCAAGGGACCGGUCUCUUAACUCUGAAAAUAUCAGGCCCUGUUGCAAAGAGGCUCUGGUGUAGCAGGGUGUUUAGGGAAGGUGGUCGCACUUCCCAAGGGAGGUCAGUCUCCAAGCUUUCUCACCCUCCAGGUGGCAGACAGGGGUCUCUCAGGGCGGGAGGAGGCAGAUGGAGCCAUUCAUUCCUUUCCCUUUGGGUCCUGGUGACUAGAGAACCUGCAGGUGUCAGACGCUACUGCCAAGGCACAAAUGAAUGUGCCUUGGGAUUCAGGCUGGAGAGAGGAUCCUCAAGGACGUAGAGAAUGUGGACAGAGUGACCAAGAUAACCCGACAGCCUCUACCUUCAUUUUCUCCCAAGGGCUGGCGUUCCUACUAGAGGAUGUCUAGGGCUUGGGCAAGCAGUUUCUAACUUGUUCCAUGGAGCAAGGCAAACUUCUCAUCCCCUUCAACAAAACUUCACCAGAAGUCCGGGUUUGGGCUUUGUCAAUCCUUUAAGAAAGGUUACACCCUUAACAGUAGGGAUGGCGAUCUUUUCCUCUCCUCAGGCUGACUUGAAGGCCCAGCAAAUGCUAGUUAAGCUGAAUUGAAUGACAUUAAAAGUUUUGUCAUGCUGAAUUAGAGUAAAUUGUUAUUAUGUCAUGCUUUUGAGAUUACUAAAUAUGCAAACUUCCUAGACAUCAUGCUUUUCUCCACCCCAGACAAAACAACUUUCCAUGAUUCGCCCACUUCUGUCCCUUUGGGUAAUGUACACAGUGUGAGGAAUUGAAAGAAAUGAAUUAAAAUUGUGAACAAAAAGCAAAUUCAGCUCUUCAGCUCUGUUCUUAGAGAAACACCCAGGAGCUAUUUAUUUUAAAUAACAGCAUUAACUCCCAAAUGCAAAUAUGUAAAAAGCAGAUUCAAGGUAACUAACUCUAAAAAGUUUGCUUCCAUAAGCCUCUUUUUCCUUGACUGGGAAGUAAGGCUUUUCUUUCAGCAGAUCCAGAGCAAGCAAAGAAAGUGGCCCUGUCUAGGAUAGCCCCUGAGGCAGAGAUGAUACUAAAAGCAAGCAAAAUUGACAAAAGUGGGAGUUUCCGUUCCUUUUACUAGGCUUAUGCACUUAAAGUUUUUGUGAAGCUUUUAAUAUCUUAUAGGAGAAUUUCAACAUUGUCUGUGCUUUUAAGGCACAGGGAACAAUCUGUCAGGUGUGUGGAUAUUUAGAAAUCAUGAAAACAUUGAAUACCUUAGGAGUCUUGAAACUAGUCAAGGCUCUUACUACUCCACCUGCCAAAUAAUUUGACCCUUAAGAUGACAACUGGAUGAAGAGGAGGAGGAGAAGGAGGAGUAGCAGGAGGAGCAUGAGAAGGAAGAGGAGCAUCAUGACAAGGACAAAAGUAAUAUUUUCAAAUGCUCAAACUGUGUCUGCUGGUAUUGUAGGAACUACAUGCCCUGACUUAUUACACUCCUGCAGCAACCCACAAAGGAGCUAUAAUUAUCAUCCCUGUGUUGUAAAUGAGGCACAAAAUCAUUAAGUAAUUUGCCUAAGUUCUGUAGCUCUAGAAAGUGACAGAGCUGGGAUUUGAACCUGGGCAACUGGCACCCAAUCCUGAUCGUAACCAUUACAUACAUGAAACAUGGAAGGAAAAGCAGGCUGAGAAUUAAACUGGAGCCCACACUCACCAGCUGACUAAGGCAUCCUAAGCAUGUUGAUAUCUGCGUUGAUACUGCUAGGGAAAUGAGGCAUUUUGGAGAACCAUUACCCACUCCAACUUUAAAAAUGCUUUGGAGUCUUUUCAUGAGAGAGAAUUGUAUGCCCUCCAUACACAAAGACUUUGGUGCGUCUACUCUGACUGAAUGGAAGGCAAGCAGUCUGCGGUUCCGCUGAGUUUGCUUCACUGCAUCUUCAUUUUGGCCUCUGAGCUCAUAGAGAGCUGCUAGAGCUCUGAGUACACAAAUCCCUGAACUGAUCAAUAUCCCAGUCCU